UCUCCGUAGGUGAAACUGCGGAGGGAUCAUUACUGAGUGAGGGCUUCGGUCCGGCAUCCAACCCUUUGUGAACCAAACUUGUUGCUUCGGGGGCGACCCUGCCGCUUCGGCGGUGCGGCGCCCCCGGAGGCCAUUAAAAACUGCAUCAUUGCGUCGGAGUUAAAGUAAAUUAAACAAAACUUUCAACAACGGAUCUCUUGGUUCCAGCAUCGAUGAAGAACGCAGC
This 226-nucleotide unclassified non-coding RNA is filed under the name uncultured fungus. Its description in RNAcentral is "sequence contains ITS1, 5.8S rRNA gene". The stretch from base 178 to 226 matches the Rfam family "5.8S ribosomal RNA", at positions 1 to 49 of the family's 154-position model. The record is from RNAcentral. Lineage: Eukaryota; Fungi.